Bos taurus (domestic cattle) is the source of this 1668-nucleotide long non-coding RNA. Lineage: Eukaryota; Metazoa; Chordata; Mammalia; Artiodactyla; Bovidae. The record is from Ensembl.
CUGCUGGGAGGCCUGAGGGGGGAAGCGGCACCAACAUCUUUACAGACCAUCUACCCCACUCGGUACAGGGUCAUGACCACAUAGUCAAACAACCAAGGGUCAGAGGGGAGAGAGCAGAUGCGGACCAUGGGCUCCUGGGGCCAACGGGCUCCUGGGGCCCACGCCUCCUUUCAAGACCUUUCGCGAAGAGUGGCUUUCAGUGAAACAGAUCUCCGAGGGCAGAUUUUCCUCGUGUUGAAAGGGAACCUCUGGUCAAAAGUCAGCAGCCGCGCUGCAGAAAGCUUUGAUAGUCAGUGAAGUGGAUCACGGCAUGCGCGGAUGGAGCCUCUCGCUGCGCGGGCGGACCUCCCUCCAAGAGCGACCCCUGGUCAUCAGUCAUCGGGGCCCCCAUCGCCUUCUGCGCAGCCGAUGGUUUCACCAGAUCCACGGGGCCUGGGUCCCAAGCUGCCCUUUUCCACAGGUAUUGCUAAAGCAAAUAGCAGACGGUAUUUACUGGGUGUGAUGCUUUCAAUCACAUUAAUCUAGCCAGUAAAAAAAUUUAUGACCAAUAAAAAUUCCACCAUGACAUGGCUGAUUGGAGGAGAGUUGCGGUGAUGGAGAUUCAAGCCACGCCUCUGCCUCUGGCUAGACCGUCACAGCCGUGGAAGGAAGUAGGCGUCGGAGACCAGAAAGACAGAAGUCUCUGGGCCUGUUAAAACCAACUCCAGGGUGGAUGGAUAAAACUCUUAAAUCGUUUAAUAAGUCCGAAUUCUUGGAGUUUGGAGGGCAACUGACUGAACACCUACCUUGAAAAGCUACCUGGGGAAGAGUUAUGGACGUGGUCCUGCCUGCACUAAAAAAUGACUCUGGGUUCCUUCGAGUCCCUUGAUUACAUGACAACUUGCCCAUUAUAAAAUAAAUAUUUUAAAAUGCAACACUUAGAAACAAGCUCGAAGGAUGCCUGGGUGGGGAGUCUCUCUCUGGUUUGGAGCCAAUGGGGAAGGCAGCUCCACAUAGCUGUCUUUCGCCUGCUUGAUCCCGACAUGGUGUUUGCAGAUUCAGAAGGGUAAUGACUAAUCUCUGCUAACGUCUGUGAGUCAUUCCUUCUCCCAGCCCACGGUGACAGUCCUCAGACGGCAUGAUUUCAAAUACACACAAUCCAAAUCCUACUGUUCCAUGGCUUCUCCCUGGAGUGGGCAACUGAUCCAAUUCUUUGUUAAUGAUCCCAGACCACACAUGGCAAGGAGGAUGUUAUUUUAAUGAACGUAUAUUGAAAGUCCUGCCGCUGGGAGCAAGUACCUGAUUAGCUAAUUGUGGUGAGGCUAAUGCUUCAAGUGGCUUAUCCAAUAGCCAUUAUCCCAUUCUUUCUGAGUAAUAGAACCCCAAAUGUAAUCUGUGUGGCAAGGUGCCCAGCCAGAAGACUGUAUUUGCAAAGUCCCUUGUUGCUAAGGGUAGCCAGUAAGACGUAAUUUGGAAUUUGUGUUUGAGGCUUUUGAGAAAGCCCUGGAAGUGGAGGGAUGGGCAGUAGGCAGCUGCCCUUUCACCCUUCUCAAGCUUCCUUCUCUUUCUGGUCUAGAGUAAAGGGCCAGGGGCUAGGACUCCAGUAGUCACCUUGGCGUGUGAGGUGAAAAGAAGUAUGGAAGCCUCGUGCUUUAAGAAACAGAGGUGAAUGGAGCAGGGGAUGAAAGG